GUGUGUGGGACCAUACUUCAGAGAGUCUCAGUCAUUUCUAACUAAGUAUGAUAGAAACCUCUGAGGUUAGAGUAGCACAUGA
This 82-nucleotide microRNA precursor is filed under the name Fukomys damarensis (Damara mole-rat). The record is from RNAcentral. Lineage: Eukaryota; Metazoa; Chordata; Mammalia; Rodentia; Bathyergidae.